AGUGGCGAACGGGUGAGUAAUAUAUCGGAACGUGCCCAGUCGUGGGGGAUAACGUAGUGAAAAUUACGCUAAUACCGCAUACGAUCUAUGGAUGAAAGCGGGGGAUCGCAAGACCUCGCGCGAUUGGAGCGGCCGAUAUCAGAUUAGGUAGUUGGUGAGGUAAAGGCUCACCAAGCCAACGAUCUGUAGCUGGUCUGAGAGGACGACCAGCCACACUGGAACUGAGACACGGUCCAGACUCCUACGGGAGGCAGCAGUGGGGAAUUUUGGACAAUGGGGGAAACCCUGAUCCAGCCAUUCCGCGUGUGCGAUGAAGGCCUUCGGGUUGUAAAGCACUUUUGGCAGGAAAGAAAUCGCACGAAUUAAUACUUUGUGUGGAUGACGGUACCUGCAGAAUAAGCACCGGCUAACUACGUGCCAGCAGCCGCGGUAAUACGUAGGGUGCGAGCGUUAAUCGGAAUUACUGGGCGUAAAGCGUGCGCAGGCGGUUAUAUAAGACAGAUGUGAAAUCCCCGGGCUCAACCUGGGAACUGCAUUUGUGACUGUAUAGCUGGAGUGCGGCAGAGGGGGAUGGAAUUCCGCGUGUAGCAGUGAAAUGCGUAGAUAUGCGGAGGAACACCGAUGGCGAAGGCAAUCCCCUGGGCCUGCACUGACGCUCAUGCACGAAAGCGUGGGGAGCAAACAGGAUUAGAUACCCUGGUAGUCCACGCCCUAAACGAUGUCAACUAGCUGUUGGGGGCUUCGGCCCUUAGUAGCGCAGCUAACGCGUGAAGUUGACCGCCUGGGGAGUACGGUCGCAAGAUUAAAACUCAAAGGAAUUGACGGGGACCCGCACAAGCGGUGGAUGAUGUGG
Molecule: ribosomal RNA, 853 nt
Filed under: uncultured bacterium
Lineage: Bacteria
Description: bacterial SSU rRNA
Rfam family: Bacterial small subunit ribosomal RNA
Source: RNAcentral